UGGGGAAUUUUGGACAAUGGGCGAAAGCCUGAUCCAGCAAUGCCGCGUGUGUGAAGAAGGCCUUCGGGUUGUAAAGCACUUUUGUCCGGAAAGAAAUCCUUGGCUCUAAUACAGUCGGGGGAUGACGGUACCGGAAGAAUAAGCACCGGCUAACUACGUGCCAGCAGCCGCGGUAAUACGUAGGGUGCAAGCGUUAAUCGGAAUUACUGGGCGUAAAGCGUGCGCAGGCGGUUUGCUAAGACCGAUGUGAAAUCCCCGGGCUCAACCUGGGAACUGCAUUGGUGACUGGCAGGCUAGAGUAUGGCAGAGGGGGGUAGAAUUCCACGUGUAGCAGUGAAAUGCGUAGAGAUGUGGAGGAAUACCGAUGGCGAAGGCAGCCCCCUGGGCCAAUACUGACGCUCAUGCACGAAAGCGUGGGGAGCAAACAGGAUUAGAUACCCUGGUAGUCCACGCCCUAAACGAUGUCAACUAGUUGUUGGGAUUCAUUUCCUUAGUAACGUAGCUAACGCGUGAAGUUGACCGCCUGGGGAGUACGGUCGCAAGAUUAAAACUUAAAGGAAUUGAC
Molecule: ribosomal RNA, 565 nt
Filed under: uncultured bacterium
Lineage: Bacteria
Description: partial 16S ribosomal RNA
Rfam family: Bacterial small subunit ribosomal RNA
Source: RNAcentral